GGCAGAGCAGGACAGCACAAAAUGUACUGUACCCUCCAUCCUGUGUAACUAUGUAUCAGACUCCUUUUUCUUAGAAAACCGCGAGAAUGUAACAAUUGCAUGAACCUGCCAAUAGGAAUGUAGAGAAGUAGAUUCAGUCCAAAUUAGGCAAUCUCUGUAACCCACGUCACUUCCCUAAGCCCACCCAAAUGUCCAACCCUUUAUAAUUCAUCACUCCCCCGGAGUUCUCUCUCUGGCCCCACUGCUGCGUCAGGAGGAGGCUGGGAGCCAAACCCGGGUUUGAAUAAAGACUCUUUGCUUUUGCAUCGGAGAAAAGGCUCCCUAGUGGUUGAUUAUUGGGGACCCUGAACUCUGGGCAUAACAUUUGGGGGCUCGCCCGGGGCUCCCCAAUACCCACGAGGGACCCGAUCCGAAGAGUCUGACUGCUGACUGACCGCGGAGGCCAUCCAGGCUUUCAGCUCACAAGAAAUCUCCCCCUGCGAGAGGAGAGAGGGACCCCCCAGAAGGGGCUGGAGGCUCUCCCUCUCAACAGGUUUUGCCUCUCCUGAAACAACGCUCCAUGUGUAACCUGUCCCUCCCCGAGCCGGACUGCAGGAUGAUUUUUCCUUCAACACACUGGUCCCGCCCACUGGCCUAUGGCAGAAGCCAGAAAAAGCGACGAUAAGAAAGGGAGGCCCCAUCAGGGGACUUAGAGGCAGUGUUUCUGUUAUCUGCUUAGAUCCCAAGAAUGGUCAGGAAGAAACUGAAAGCUGGAAUUCAUAACCAUUCCCUUACUCAAGUCCUUACAGGCUCUGCAGUAUACCCAGAGAGCCAC
This is a long non-coding RNA of Eptesicus fuscus (big brown bat), 814 nucleotides long. RefSeq lists it as uncharacterized. The record is from RefSeq and is a predicted model, not a curated record. The transcript is spliced from 4 exons. Lineage: Eukaryota; Metazoa; Chordata; Mammalia; Chiroptera; Vespertilionidae.